This 72-nucleotide transfer RNA is filed under the name Camelus bactrianus (Bactrian camel). It matches the Rfam family "tRNA". Rfam says of the family: Transfer RNA (tRNA) molecules are approximately 80 nucleotides in length. The record is from Rfam by way of RNAcentral. RNAcentral also lists the same sequence under 2 other names. Lineage: Eukaryota; Metazoa; Chordata; Mammalia; Artiodactyla; Camelidae.
CGGGGUAUAGCUCAGUGAUAGAGCGCAUGCUUAGCAUGCGUGAGGUCCUGGGUUUAAUCUCCAGUUCUUUCC